This 410-nucleotide unclassified non-coding RNA is filed under the name Hevea brasiliensis (rubber tree). The record is from RNAcentral. Lineage: Eukaryota; Viridiplantae; Streptophyta; Magnoliopsida; Malpighiales; Euphorbiaceae.
AAAAAGAGUUAAUGGUGAAUCUACAUCAAUUUUCUCUUCUUUCAUUCUGUUACUGGAGUGGGGUGUGAUAUCAAAAAACGGUGCAGGUUCAUGCAAUGUUAUUUAAUAUUAACUUUUGAGAUUCCAUCAAAUAUUUGUUUCAUCUUGUUACCUUAGAAGAUAAAUUACAUAUGUUAUGGCAGCUCCAUAUAUGAUAUUUAGCGAAGAGGUAUUAAAUCACAUACAUCGUAGGAUUUCUUCACAACAUAUGUUAAAAAGGCUAAUCAUUUAUAAUGGUAUACACAUGCAGAUAUUGUUUCCAUGCCCAGAUGAUAUUAUGGUAUAGGGGUUAGUAAUUGUCUUUGGCAGUUUUAUUUGAAUUUUUGCAUUAUUUUCUUCCAUGUGUAGUAUGAUUGAUAAUUAGAGUAAUU